Molecule: long non-coding RNA, 1529 nt
Organism: Mesocricetus auratus (golden hamster)
Lineage: Eukaryota; Metazoa; Chordata; Mammalia; Rodentia; Cricetidae
Exons: 2
Source: RefSeq, a predicted model, not a curated record
AAGCUGUGGUUGUCAUGGCAACCGGGAUGGUGGUAUCCAUCUAGGCUUGAUCAGAAAGCACCCAAUCUGCUUGCUUUUCUUACUGGUGCACCAGGGGAGCAUCCGCACGUCCAAAGACCCGAUGCCUUCGGAUACAGGAUUCCUAGACUGAACCUGACCAAACACACCUGCAAUCUUGGCCUGACUCUGUGUGAGCCUGACUAUUUGUGAUACUACCUGUCCCUGACUUCACUGACCUCAUCUAUAAAAUGUCCCAUAAAAGCUCUCUAUACUUCGUAUACAUCUGCGUGGGAGGACAGUCUGACCUUUAUUCUGUGCCCCCUCCAGUCCUGUGGCACCUGAAGCUUUCAACAGUACCUAUUUAGUGUUUUAAUAGCCACAGCUAGUAAACACAUGAGAUUAAAAAAAAAAAUCACAGCAAAAAUCUUCUACAAACGUCCUAGGGAGAUAUUUUGUAGAAUUGAACGUUGAAGUUGGGAAGUCAAGUCAUCUUCAUAAGACUACCUACUUAGUCAAAAUGGCCAGGCUGAGACUUGAAGCCAGGUCAAGCUAGCUCCAAAGAAAGUAGCUUUGGAAGCCUCACACGGGGCUGCUGGGCUGUUCAUUUCUUCGCAGGACACUGCUGUGGAAAAGGGGCAGGCUGAUCCUGAGGAGGACUCAGCUUUGCGCAGACACAUGAGUGGAAAUUGUAGGAGCUGAAGAAAUAUCUACACACAAAGUCCAUGUGUUUCUGUGUAGUAGGUGUCCAGGAAGAUGUGGGGGAAUGCUAUGAACAUGCAUAUGUAUAUAUUGAUAUUUUUCUAGAGAGAGGAAAAAAAUCUUUAGGUGAGUGCAAGUGUAGCUUGCCACCCUGGGGACUUAAAUUAGUCUUGUCCUUCGUUUUGUCUUGUCCCAUAGGUGGGACUUAGCCUAGAGAGACACCUGAGAAGGUUAAGGAAGGUGUCCCAAGGACAAUGAGUCAGGCAAUGAGUGGGCUUAGAGAACACAGAAAGAUGACCGAUUGCCUCCAGCCCAGGAAAGCACUACUGACACCUUAGAAAGUAACGACUUUGGGGUACUCAGGUCAUAGGCAGGACCACAGCUAAAAGCAGCCUCAGCAGGGAGGAGCAUGCAAAGAACAGAGUGAUCUGGAGGAUCAUGGGAAGAGCAGAGGGAAGUGGAGGAUCGUGGGAAGAGCAGAAGGAAGUAGAGAAUCGUGGGAAGAGCAGAGGGAACUGAAAACGGAAGGAAGGACAGGCAGCUAAAGUAUCUUUCUGAAGCUUGAAUGAGACUGUAUCACUCCCUGGAGAUUAAGGCCUGUCCUGAGACUCCCAGUGGCUCGUCUUCGCCUCAGCACGAAGCCCACAGUCAACAGCAUGCUCCUUGGAGUUCUUCACAAUCUGCUGUCUUUCCCAGCCUCAUCUCUUGUCUGUCUCCUGUUACUCUACAGCUGCUCCACUUAGUCUGCUACCCACUAGCUAUAUGUGGCUAUUUAACUUUAUUUUAAUUAAGUGAAAUCUAAUAGUUUAAUAAAUAAAAGCAAGACAUUA